RNAcentral lists this ribosomal RNA (406 nucleotides) under uncultured bacterium. RNAcentral's name for it is "partial 16S ribosomal RNA". It matches the Rfam family "Bacterial small subunit ribosomal RNA", at positions 30 to 526 of the family's 1533-position model. The record is from RNAcentral.
AUUGAACGCUGGCGGCAGGCCUAACACAUGCAAGUCGAACGAGUGGCGGACGGGUGAGUAAUGUCUGGGAAACUGCCCGAUGGAGGGGGAUAACUACUGGAAACGGUAGCUAAUACCGCAUACCAUCGGAUGUGCCCAGAUUGGAUUAGCUAGUAGGUGGGGUAACGGCUUACCUAGGCGACGAUCCCUAGCAGGUCUGAGAGGAGGACCAGCCACACUGGGACUGAGACACGGUCCAGACUCCUACGUGAGGCGGCAGUAGUGAAUAUUGCACAAUGGGCGCAAGCCUGAUGCAGCCAUGCCGCGUGUAUGAAGAAGGCCUUCGGGUUGUAAAGUUCUUUCAGCGAGGAGGCGUUACUCGCAGAAGAAGCACCGGCUAACUCCGUGCCAGCAGCCGCGGUAAUUC